GAUGAAGAACGCAGCGAAAUGCGAUAAGUAAUGUGAAUUGCAGAAUUCAGUGAAUCAUCGAGUCUUUGAACGCACAUUGCGCCCCCUGGUAUUCCGGGGGGCAUGCCUGUCCGAGCGUCAUUGCUGCCCUCAAGCACGGCUUGUGUGUUGGGCCCCCGUCCCCGGUUUCCCCCGGGGACGGGCCCGAAAGGCAGCGGCGGCACCGCGUCCGGUCCUCGAGCGUAUGGGGCUUUGUCACCCGCUCUGUAGGCCCGGCCGGCGCCAGCCGACACCCAACUUUAUUUCUAAGGUUGACCUCGGAUCAGGUAGGGAUACCCGCUGAACUUAAGCAUAUCAAUAGGCGGAGGA
This 348-nucleotide unclassified non-coding RNA is filed under the name soil metagenome. Its description in RNAcentral is "partial contains 5.8S ribosomal RNA, internal transcribed spacer 2, and large subunit ribosomal RNA". The stretch from base 1 to 120 matches the Rfam family "5.8S ribosomal RNA", at positions 35 to 154 of the family's 154-position model. The record is from RNAcentral.